UUGCUGGCCAUCGGUUUAGUCAACUGGCCCAUCCAAGAAAGGAAAACAGAUUACACCGGAAGACACUAACACUAAACAGAAACACAUGCAGCAGCAUCAAGUCUAUACUACUCAUAAAGCAUACAAACACCAAAGUGGUGAACACCAACCAUCCUAAUAAUCUGAUCUUGAUAACUAGAACAGAAACCAAACUGAAAAUCACCGGCAGCAAUGAAAGCAUAUCCAGAAAACUCCAUCAGCAGACCCCCGGAUCUCAACAUUCACAAACCAGAAAAGCAUAAGAAUAAGCCAAUCUGAUCAUUGAUUUCGCUGCUCGUAGUGUAUGCACGAAGGAAACCAAUUUAAGCAACCAAUUUAAGGAAGCGAGUGAGGGUAGCAGCUUUAGCAAAGUCUCCUUCUUCGCGGGCUCCUAAGAUAUUGAGCAUAAGAAUAAACCGAAUCCGAUUGCAAGCUGUUUGCUUCAUAAUCACUUGAGUUUCCUCUCUGAGUUGAUCGCAUUGGCGUUUAACAUCUCCAAACCUGUCUCCUAAAUUUCGUUGCUCCUCUCUUAUGCAUCUUUGAUCUUCCCUUAUCUUAUCCAUUUCCGAUUUUAUUCGUUGGGCCCUCACUUUCAAACUCUUCAUUUUUGGUUUGAAAGUCUUCUUCCUCAUGCUCAUCGCCAUUUUAUCAGCUUAAAUUUGAAGCUCAAAGAAAACUAAAGCUGAAUGAGUUGGAGAUUUAAUCUUCGAUUGUGUUGAAUGAAAAGCCAUAAAGACUGGAAUAUAAAUAUACAUCUAACAAGUUACUGUUAGCGAACCGCGUCUGGUGUUCGGAGGAAAAACAAUAGAAUAAGGAAGAUGAAGAGAAACCGGAGUGAAAGGAGGAAGAAACAGCAGUUACAUAAUGAGGCCAGCAAUCGAACGAUUUUCAAGUGUUAAUAUAUUCCCAAGUGUAAGCGUCGCUCGGUUUCUCAAGUGUUAUCGAGCGAUUCCUUUUGUUAUGACUGAAUGAAACACAAGACUAUCGGUUUGGCUGACAUCCACUUAAUAUAUUCUCGUGGUCCCACACUGUUACUGCAAAAGUAUUUUAUUACGUCACAUACUUUUUCUUUGUGUAUUAUUUAUAUUAUUUUAUUCCUGAUAGUAGUGUUAUGUAAUAUGUAUUAGGAGUAAGAAACAAGAAUGAGGUCACCGCAAAGGUACUCCGUUAAAUACUUCAAAAAAAGGGAUAAACAAAGGUCUUUUAAAUUAAUUAAACUUCACCAUCAGCUUUUUUCAAUCAUUUGCAUGGUAUAUACAAAGACCUUCACAGCGAAUGAGAUUACACAAAUUAAAAUUGUUCAUAUAGAGAUUAUUGAAAGUUAAAGAGGGUGCAAAAUUACACAUAAUAUGUCUCCCCAUUCACAUAAUUGUUCAUAAUAUGUCUUAUCGAGCGAUUGCUUUUGUUUUGAGAGAAUGAAACACAGAUUAUUAGUCUGUUUUUAUUAUAGUGUUUCUACUAUAGUCUUGUGUGACUGGAAGUGACAGAUUAUUGGUGUGGUUGUUACAUCGAUUUAAUAUUCUCGUGGUCACAGCGUUAUGAUUUGCUUCUCAUAUUUUCUAGGAACUUCAUUUUCUUGGCUUUUGUGGCUGAAUAUGUCGUUCAAUUCACGUCACACUUAAACUUCAAAUACAAAGGUCAGUAAAGUCUAUUAGCAAUUCACGCCAAAGACAAGUUCUAGAAACCAAUAGAAACAAGGCACAUAAACGACAGAAUUAGAGAUGAAUGGAUUUCGUUUAAUUCCAACAAAUCCCUCCGUCAGAUUAAUUAGUUUUCAAUCUUCACCAUGCAAGCAUCUUCUAGAACUUGUAGAUCACAUCACUCUUUAAUGGCUUUGUAAAGAUAUCUGCAAGUUAGUCUUUAAACUAGCAAACUCCACCUCAAUCUCAUGGUCUUUUACCAAAUCCCGACAGUAGUGAUGUUUGUACGCAUUUCCUUCCACUCUUCGUUCUCUCUCAAAAAGCAAUGUAAGUCUGUUUUAUUAUUUUAGUUUUGAGUUGAGCUUAUUUUUUCUCUUUGCAGUUGGUAUGAGUUGUUAAUGUUUAUUUGGGUAUGUUUCACAUUAUUUUGCUGUUGGCAAUUUUUAGUUAUAGUUGCAUUUUCCGAAUGGUUGUUUUUGCAUAUUGUUGUUUAAUUUUCUACUCACGCAAGUGUACAUAUUGCAAAGGUAAUAUAGAGAUGAGUAGAGUGUCGAUUCCACAGAGAAUUGAAUUAAUCCUUGCAGUUAACUACUAAAAUUAACACACUUUAACUUUAUCUAGACAAUUAAAAUUAAAAAAGAAAAUUUAAAUUAAUAAACUAAUAACAAAAACUAAUCUAUUCAAAUUUACUUUAUUAAAUGUGAAUGACUACCAGAUCUAAGAUUAGAAUAUUUCUCAAUACUUUAUCUGAUUAUUAUCUCUCUCUUAACCUAGUUUAAUGGAUUAAGUUGGUAACCUAGAGUCCUAAAUUAUUUACAAGUCUCUAUCGAGUUUUUUAUAAAAAUAUCUCUCUCAAUUAAUUUACUAUAUGUCUAUACAAAUUAUAUUGAAGAAAGAUUCAUUAAGUUUAUGCUCUAAUCCUAGCUACGUAUGGUUUAUAGGUGUAUUUCUACCCUAUAUGCAAAUCAAAUCACCUAAUCAACUAAGUGUAUUCGAUCAUACGCUAUUCUAUUCAAGAUCUACCUAAAUCUCCUUUGUCAAGGUUUAACUUAGAUUUCCAAUUCAAUCUAAUUGGUGGCCAGUCAACUAGAAGCAUUAAGAACAGAAUAAAAUAAACAACUUAAAUCUAUCAAACAUAAGCAAAAAAGAGAUAAAUAAUUCAGACUACAUAUUGAGUUCAAUCAUAAUCUUAGAUAAAAAAUUUAGUUCCCUAUCAAGUCACACAUUAUUAUUGAAUAAAAUCUAAACAUUAAAAACAAAACUAAGAAAAUAAAAGAAUAAAAAAAAAUAUAAAAAAACUCAAGAAUUGUAUUCUUGAUCUCCAAAUCUCCUUGAAUUUUGCAAAUUCUUUUUAGCUUCAAUGACUCUAUGGCUUGACUCUUAGCUGUUAAUCUGAUGUUUCUUCAUUCUCUUUUUUUCUCAUCUGAAAGGUUGUUUUUAUAGGCUUUGAAGUUAGGCCAAGUUGGGUGAAGAAAGAAGUCAAUUUCAACUAUGAUUUUUAUUGGCUCCAUUAGUUUUUUAUGAUAAUAAAACAUUCCCAUUCAUUUGUGUCUAAUGCCUUUACUUAAGUGUGCAGGAAAAUUAAUGUAUAAAAUUAAUAAAUCAAUCUUUUAAAAUACAUAUCAAAAGAAAAAGGGAGAUAAAGAUAAAGAGACAUGACUGCUUAACAAGGAGGAAGCUCAUUAGUUGAAUAAGGAAGAAUGUUGGUUGGCCAAGAUUCAAAAUGGAGAAAUGGUAGGCUGAAGAAUAUUGAGAAAUAGAACCAACUUAGUCGACCAAGAAAUAGACUAGUCGACUAAGUGCAUACUGCUAGAAACAGGGAGUAGAAAACAGAGACGAUUUAAUCGACUAAGAUAUUGGUUAGUCGACCAAGAGCAUUCUGGCUGCAAGUUUGAAAGCUGCACUAAAAGACAGAGUAACGGCUAGAACUGACCCUCAACUAUCUCCAACGGCUAAAAAACUGUCAGACUGCCAUCAGAGUUGUUUCUCUAAGUAUAAAAGGGUCUUCCAAUGGUUAGAAAUUAGUUUUUGAGAGAAUUAAAAGCUUCCAAGUGAUAUAGAGCUGAAAAAUUAGAAAAUCUUCUCUGCAUUUUGCUUCACUUAAACGCCCAUCUUUUGUUAUUAUAUUCUGCACUCAACCUUGUACUAUUUAGAUCAACUUAUGAUCAUAGGUACUUUCUUUUAUUUCUCUUAUUGUAUUCUUAGAGUGAGAGAGUUACUCUAAGUGGUUGUUUCAAGCUAGGUUUGCUUGAAUGUGUUAAGGUUCUAACUUAGCCUUGAAAAGUCAGUUGGUGAGUUUUAGUUUAGCCUGUGCAAAACUAGUGUUAAAGGUUUUGACUGAGUCUUGUAAAAGCCAUUGUAAAGCUUGGUGAAAGCUUGUGAAUUUCACUGGUUGUUAAUGGAUUGUUUGAAAAAUCCUUCGUUGGAUAAUCAAGGUAGUAGAUGUAGGUCUUGGACCUAGCCACUAUAAAUUCUACUGUCUUGUUUACUCUAUUUUGUUUCAUUUUCUUUCCUUCAUUUGUCUCAACUUUAUCUAGACUUACAGACAAUUUUUGAAAGAGCCAAAUUAUGCUAUUCACCCCCCUCUAGCACAUAUUAUUGGGACCAACAAUUUCCUCAUCAAACUAUGUAGUCGCAGCUUUGCCCAAUUAAUUAACAGAAAUCAUAAUUGCUCUAGAAUUGUUGCAGUAUAUCAACUUCAAUAAGAUUUUUGACCAUAUUUCAGGCCAAACUAGGUGAAGUGGUAAUAAUAAAAGUUGUAGAUUUUUCUCUUAUCUUUCCAAUAGUUUAAGAAUCGCUUCAUUUAGAACUCUAUAGAGAAAGUUAUGGCUGAAAUACCGAAACAUGUGAAGUGUAAGUUAGUACCUUGAAAUUGCUCUCUUUCUUUUACUAAAAUUCUUCUUUCAAACACCUACAAAAGCACAAAUAAAUCAAUAACAACCUAUCUUGAUCAUAUUAACACCAAAUUAAGUAUAAAUUAAUCAUAAUUAGAUUGACUUACCUAAAAUAACUAAUUUAAAAUAAUUAAAUAAAAUCUACUAAUUUUUAUGCAUUACUACAAAAACUAAGCCAAAUCAUUAUUAAAAAUAAGCUCAAAUAACUCUACAUUAUAGAGUUAUCACAUAUUGUACAUACAAAUUUCUCGUCGAAUUUCUUGACUUGAAAAAUUAUGACACAAAUAUAAAAUAUUUUGAUGUGAGUUAUAAUAUUUGAAAAUUCCUCUGAUUAAUUUCUUCACUUCAGCCUUAAGAGUCAUGAACUCGGACUUAGUCUUGAUCACGAACUAAACUUGAUAUCUUCGCUUCAAAGGGCUUGACGACUUGAUUUUGAUUACGAACUAUAUUUGAUAUCUUCACCUCAAGGGUCUUGAUAACUUGAUCUUGAUAGUCUUGGUUACGAGCUAAACUUGAUAUCUUCACUUCAAACAUCUUGACGACUUGAUCUUGAUCACAAACUAUAUUUGAUAUCUCUGCCUUAAGGGUCUUGACAACUUGAUCUUGAUCAUGAACUAUGUUUGAUAUCUUUGCUUCAAGGGUCUUCACGACUUGAUCUUGAUCAUGAACUAUACUUGAUAUCUUCACCUCAAGGGUCUUCACGACUUAAUUUUGAUGUCAAGCUCAACUCUAUUAUAUACUUGCCAUGUCAUUCAUGUAUUUGAUAGCAUAUCUAUAUACUUGGAUGCCUCAAAAAAUCGUUAAAAAGUUGGUAUCGUACCUAAUGGUACAAUUAAGUUGAUUAAAGCCUCGAACUAGUCCAAAUAGAGAUUUGAAGAUGUAUUCGAGAGUUAUUGAAACUUAGAAUAUCUUAAUAUGGUGAUUCGGAGUUUGAUGAUUGAUUUGGAGUCCAAUCGGGAAUUUUCAUAACGUAAGGGCAAAAUGAUCAUUUUACCACCUGAGGGUAAAAUUGCAAUGUUGGAUGAAAUUUUUGACUAAGUUUGACUAAUUGGAGCAUGAUUUAAAUUUGAGAAAUGAACAAUUUUAAUUUCGACAUUUUUUCGAACAUAAGGGCAAAUAGUCAUUUUACGUGUCCAUAAGGGCAUAAUUGGAAUCUUUAAAAAUUUGCACCACCAUGACACUUGUCCAACCCAUAAACUUCACCCAUUAUCAUUUUGGCCCAUGGAUAAUUUUGUGGUGGUGAGAGAAUGCUUAAUUGUUAAGUGUUAAGCAUGAACCAAUUACAUGGUGACACGUGGUAAAUUUUAAUCCUUUUAUAAUUCCCUUUAAAAACCAGCACACACUCCUCCCAAAUCAUUCUCUCUUGGCCGGCCAAAGCAAAAAACAAAGAGAAAAGAAUAGAAACAAACCCUAGAGAGGAAAAUUUAAGAGAAACUUGUUGAAUUUCAAAGAACAAAGCAAUCAAAAGUAAGAUUUUUCAAUUUUAGCUUAAGAUCUACCUUUCCCAUGCUCUCUUUUUCAUUUUCCAUAGUUGAAACUCAAGAUUUCAUGAAGGAAAGUUUGCUAGCCGAACCUAGGGGGAGAGGUUUUGAUCACGGGUUUUGUUAGAUUUCAUGCUACAUACUCGUUUUUAGUUGUUUUGUGAUACUCGGUGUGAAAAACAAGCAUGAAAACCACAUGUUCUUCAUCAAACCCUCCUUGGCUGAAUUUACUAAAGGACAUAUUGAUGAUGAAUCUUGUUAUAUCUCAUGUUAUUUAACUCGUAUUUGAUGAAUUGUGGUGUCGGAUAUUGAAAACGGUUAUGAAAACGUAUAGUUCCUUUAGUGAACGAUUUGAACAAUAAUAAGUAAAUCAUAGUAAAUGGACUUGGAUUUGAUUUCUAAUGAUAUAGAUGGAUUUAUUGGACUAUGUUGACAUUGAUUAGCAUGUUAGUUCGGAAUCAGAAUGAAUUUCGGUUACGAUGAAUUAAGUCACAAUCAAGCUCAUUAAGGUACCUUGGUGUAUUUGGAAUAUUGGAAGUGUAAUGAAUAUAUUUGAAGUGGAAUUGGAUGUUUUGGUUAAUUCAACAGCGUAUAGUUCGAGUUAGGUCGAAUGCAAAUUCAAACCGAUCAAAAUUGAACUCACGUAGAAUACCAUCUUUAAGUGAUUAUUUGGACACUUCUCAUUCCAUUUCAUGCAUUCAUGUAGAGCCUGAAAUACUUUUAUAAUAGAAUGGGACAAAUAUAUUGAAUUACUUGUCGUGUAUUAUGUAUAGGUGUUGAGCCCCCUAAUAAGGGUAAAGAUAUUAUACCCGAGGACCAAGAAUAAGAGUACUCCAAACUCUCGUUAUUGUGAGUGAUCAGACUUUCAUCUUAACUAUCUAAAGUAGUUUAUACUCGUUUUUAUGUUUUAAAGAAAAAUGAGUUUAAAUUGUAAGUUAUUAUGUUUUAAAAGUGAAGUGUUGGUUAAACGAAAUGAGAUUUAUAACUAUUUUGAAAUUAAAUACUGGUUUUGGAAAUUGAGUAAGUGGAGACUGUAUACUCAUGUUAUAUAUAUAUAUGUUUUGACAUAUGGUUUGAAUUGAUGGCUUAUGACAAUGUGGUGGCAAGCAUGGUUAGAUUUCUGUUUGUGUGGAAUAUAUGAAUUGUUUUGCUUUGCCUUGACAAGCUGGGUAAUGCUAUAUUGGCCAUGUCAUGCUAUCGAAAUUUUUAUUAAUUUUGGGGGUUAUUUGAUUAGCUUACUGCAGUGGACGAGUUUCUGUGGACUAGCCUAUGAGAAGGGCAUGGUAAAUCCCGUUAUAUUUACCUUAAUACGAGAGGCGCGGAGGGUAUCUCCUAAGGUAAAGUUUAGAGUUCACUUCACCCCAAACCACCACGUGAAAGUGAAACUCAACCAACGCCAAGGAACGACUAUGUUUUUAAACGUGAAAACAUGUUUUAUGUGUAUAUGUUUUUUUAACUGCCUUGGCGGACUCGGUUGGAUGCCCGGCGCAAGGCAUCAUCGAGUACUAAUUUUUGGCACGAGCCAAAUUUUUACGAGAAUCAUUAGCCUUGUUGAUUUUUAUGAAAUGAAAUUGAUUUAUAUGAAAUGAAAUGAGAUUUGAUGUUAUGAAUCAUAUUAUGAUGAGAUAUUUUAAAUUGUCUCCGUUUACUCGGCUUUAGAUAUUAUAGAUGAAAUUUGCUUACUCACUGGGUUUAGAAAAACUCACCCCUUCUUUUCCCCCAUUUCAAGCUCAAGACAGUCUAUAGACAGUCAAUUUUGUCGAGGGUUGCUUUUGGAUUUGUAUCCUUAGAAAUCGAAAGUCUACAGUCUUGUACAAUUUCAGUUAUUUUGGGGGCCCACAUGUUAUUGUAGAAUAUUUUUGUAUACCUGGUUUAGUGCGCUAUUAUAUAUAUGAAUUUAUUUUGCUUUUACGCUACAAAAAUUAUUUAUGCACGAUUCUAUAAAUAUUGUUUUAUAAGAAAAUAAAAUAUUUUAUUUAAUAUUUUUAUUUAGUUUGAUUAGCCAUAAUUUCAUCUUAAAUGGAUAAUUUAGAUUACUAAAAUUAUUCUUAGAUAAGAAAUGUAUAUUUUUUGAUCGUAUACUAUAUUUUCAUCAAGUUUCAAAAUUUUGGAUAAAAUGACCAAAAUACCCCUGUGCAGUAGAAAUUACUUUUUGAUCAUUUUUUAUUUGAAAAUAGUCUAUAUUCUUUUAAAUAUGAUAUUUAAUAACUGUUACUCACAGGGGCGGCAGAAAACUGAUGCAAUAGCCUUACGAGGUUUCAGUUGGCAUUCCAAGUAAGGAAUGUCUAUCGAGACAUCGCGGAGGGUUGUCAUGGGCUCGAAGAGAGUACCGGGUUGUGACACUUGACCAUGAACACUUGAUAUUUUGAUCAUGAACUUUGCUGCCGCCGGAUAUCUUGAUCACGAACUUUGUUUCUACUUGAUCAUGAACUUCGCUGUCGCUUGAUAUCUUCACUUUAGAAAUCGUCUACUUUUCUCAAUCUCUGAAAAGCUCUGAAUCUUCGAAUGCCUUCGAAUGAAUGCAAGUGGAUUGGAGGAGCCCCUUAUUUAUAAUGCUAGGUGGGAGACUUUGAUGAGAAUGUAGUCUCUUUGAAUUAUCUCUAAAUUAUUUUAAUUUAUUUAGAGAUAAAUUAUAAUGACUCAUUAAAAGUCUUUUGAUUGACAGGAUUUUGAGUCAUUAAAUUUUGAUUGGUCGAAGUUAAGUAUUAUCUCUAAAUCAUCUUAAUUUAUUUGGAGAUAAAUUAAAUAAUAAAAUUUGAUUUUUAUCUCUAAAUUAUCAUAAUUAUUAGAGAUAAAUUAAAUGACCAAUAAUUAAAUUUUGAUUGGUCAAAAAUAUGAUAUUAUCUUUAAAUUAUCUUGAUUUAUUUAGAGACAAAUUAGAUUAUCAAUAAUUAAAUUUUAAUUGUUCCAAAUUAAAUAUUAUCUUCAAAUUAUCUCAAGGGAUAAAUACAUGACAUAUUAGUGAAUUAGUUCAACUAUGUGUCUUUGAAAUAAUCUAACGAAUAAAUUAAUUAUUUUAAAAUUAAUUAUAUGGUUAUGAUAUCAUCAAGUCCACAUUGCAGCACGUAAUUGGAUCAUAACUUUUUUUCUUCUACAAAUGCCCCUCAAGACUUGUUCACAUAUGAUUUUGAAUGAAGCAAGUGGACAAGUCUUGAAAUUUUAAAAAAUUUCUGGGAUUUCUUAGAAUCCUAGUAUGUCUUGGUAUACUUGCAAGCCAAGUUAAAUUUGAAUUAUACUUACCCAUAGGUAAGAGAAUUAUGAUCUUGGAAGAUGUAUAUUGCAAUAAACCUAUAGGAAGAACUAUAUUGUAGUUGGUAUUACAUUUUUUAGUCAACAAAGGCUCUCUCUUUUAACUCUAUAAAAGGGAAACUCCCUCGUUAAUUUUCUACACAUCGAAAUCAAUUUAAGAAUUGCAGGUGUUCCAUAAGCUAGUAAAAAAAUUCUUCAAGAUAUGCCACCUUGAUAGUUUUUUUAUUCUAUCAAAUAAGUCCUCAUACUCUUAUUACGUUCAAUCGAGCCUUCAUAUUUUUUAUUUUGAAUCAAAUAAAUCCUUAUACUUUUAUUUUAAGUCAAAUAAGCAUUUAUAACUAAUAGUUGACUUAAUCAAAAUAUCAUUUAUCAUUUUAUAUCAUAUGGUAGUGACGUGACUAACGUGACAUGUUGACAUGUUAUAAUAUAUUAUGAUAUGGUCAAAUCGUAUUUUUCACGCUCUAUGUCAGCACCACAUGGACAUAAAAUGAUAGUCGAUGUUUUAAUUAUUGACAAUUAGUUAACUAUUAUUUAUAAAAGCUUAUUUGACCCACAAUAAAAGUACAAAGGCUUGACUGAACAAAAUAAAAAAAUAUGGGCUUAUUUAAAUUUUUUUGAAAAAUUUACGAAUUUUUUUUAGCACUAAGGCAAAAUAAAAAGGGGAAGAGAUCCAAGUUACACAUUAAUAAAUCAAUUACAAUAUUAUGAAAAUUAUUGAUGUAAAAAUUCUUCCCUUUUCAUAAAAAUUAUUAUGAAAAUUUGUAAUAAAUCAAUUAUAUUUUAUUAGGAUCUCAGCCAACGUGAAGGGGAACUCAGCCAACGUCAAGGAACGGCUGUAUUUUUCUCAAACUAAAAUAUAUUUUAAGUGUAUACAAAAUUUUAACAGCCUUGGCGGACUCGGUUAGAUGCCCUGCGCAAGGUAUCACCGAGUAUGAGUUUUGGCACGAGCUAAAGUUUUAAGAAAUUCAUAAGCCAAGUUGAUUACUCGAUUUUUAUGGAUUGAUUUUAUUUGGUUGAAAUGAGUUGAAAGGUAAUGAAAUUACAGUAUGAUGAUUUAUUUUAAUUGUCUCCAUUUACUCGAUUUUAGAUAGUUUAGAUGGUAUCUGUUUACUAACUGGGAUUUUAUAAUCUCACCACCCUCAUUUCCUCACAUUUCAGGCUCGGGGAAUUUCAUAGUUAGCUGACUUUAACAAGGACCUUCAUUUGGAUUCGAAUCGGUAAAAGUUGUAGGUUUCCAACUUCCGAUGCAUUUUGGAUAGAUGUGGGCCCACGUGUCACUGUAAAAAAAAUUUUAUGCUUUGGUUAUUUGUUUUAUAGUAUAUAUGAAUAUAAUUAUCUUUUACGCUAUAAGAAUUAUGUACCGAUAGUUUUAUGAAAAUUAUUUUACAAGAAAAUAGUUUAUUUUAUUGAAUAUUUUUAUUAUAUUCAAAUGGUCAAGUUUUCACUUCAAAUGAACGUUUUAGAUACUUAAUUUUUUUUAAAAUCAUUAAAUAUAUAUUUUUGGCUUACCUACUACAUUUUUAGCAAGUUUUGAGCUUUUCGACAAAAAUGACGAAAAUGCCCCUGUGAGCCAAAAAAAAAUAUGUUAUGUUAUGAUUUGAAAAUGAUUUGUAAUCCUUCGUAUUUUGAUUAUUUGAUAACUAUUGCUCACCGGGGAAGUGCGAAAGUUGAUACGAGAGCCUUGCGAGGUUUCGAUCGACAUUCGGAGUGAAGAAUGUUUGUCGAGGCUUCGCGGCGGUUGUCACGGGCUCGAUGGGGAGUUCCGGGUCGUGACAUUAUGGCUUUGUAUACUUCAAGUUUUUUACUCUUUUGCCUUUAGAUCAACUUGAGCUUCUCAAGAGUCGACUCCUAGACUUGUGCCUUAAGGUUGUCUUAGCUUUUUAGCACCUUUCUUCAACUAUAUUUUCUUUGCCUUGUUCCAACAAUCAAAUAAUAAUUCAUGGCAUGUUUACCUUUUGUUUUCUUAGUUGAAUAUGCAUUGUUUGAAAGCUUUUAUAAUAUUUUUUAAUGAUGCAUGGCUUUUUAAACAAUUAUGUGGUCUUAGGGGAUUAAAAAUAUAUUUGAGACAAUUUAAAAUGCUUGACAUUAAGUUCAAAAUAACAUGUAAUUUUUGUCAAAUUAAAGCAUGAUGUAACUCAAGGCUAACAUUGUUCCUUGACGUUUGAAAGACCUUAAUAACUUUAUCAACUAUGUUAAGAGGAAGAUUCCUAAAUGGUCUGUUGUGCACGUCCCCCGUUCUGGUAAUAUGUUAAUUGACCAUCUUGCAAAAGCUGGAGUCAAUCAUGCUCAUGGGCAAACCAUAUUGGAAGGAGUGGUGUCACAUGGCACCACUCACUUCUUAAAAUGUUUUAAUUUUUAUAUUAUUUAUUUAAAGUUUUGGGUAGUUAAUAUAGUAAUGAACCCAUGAAUUUUUUUUGCAAUUUUAUAAGGACGGGGGUCAAAUACUCCAAGUAAAAGUGAUUUAUCAAAAGGUAAUUUAUGUAUUUUGUAGAGGCUUAUAUUUAGUUUUAAUGAAUGAAUAGAAAAUUGUCAUUUCUUUAGUAACUGAAUUUGAUAAUUUGCUAUGUAAGAUUAUAUUUUAUUUAAUUCUAAUAUUUUAAUUUAUGCUAAUGAGUACUAAUUUUUAACAAGUUAUAUAAAUUUAGAUAAAUAAGUCAUGAAAAGAUAUUUUAAAAGAAAAAAAAUUAUCUCACAAGGCUUAGAUCUCGUACAAUAACAAAAUUCUACUAAUGAUGAUACUUAACAGUAUUUUUCUAAGUAAAAUUGUGUUGAAUUUGAUAUAAGUACUCUUUCAAUAGAUCUUGAAUAAAAAAAAAAUUUUGAAUAUCAUCCUAUUGAAUGACAUCACUUAAAAAAAUCCACCGACGCCGGUUACCAUCCACAAGUACAGGCCGUAAGGCCCUGUUGGUACGAGCAACUGCCAUUCCUUAUAUCAGUUAAGCCUUCAAACAGUCAUUCUUUAUAUAAUAUAUAUAAUUUUGGCAAGUGUUAAAAUUAUGAAUUAACUAAUAAAUAUAAUUUUUUUUUUGUGUAACUCAAUCACGUAAAUAUAUUUUCUGAUGGUAUAUAAAAAAUUGCUGCACAUUAAAGAAGAAAACAGAAAAAGUGAGAUAACAAUGUUAAUUACAUAAAUUAUGUUUGCUGCUUCUAUCAGAAACCAAUUUAAGGAAGUUGGAUUAAAUAGAUCUUUAUAAUUAACAGUUAAUUAAAAAUAAUUAAUCAAAAUGUAACAUUGACAUGAUGUUAUGUUAUUAUAUUACAUAACAUGCAACAUCAUCAUUCACUAUGACAUGUCAGUAUGACUCAUCGAUAUUACAUGACAUAAAAAAGAUAAGUAACAUUUUGAUUAAUAAUAGUUAAUUAACUAUUAAUUAGUUAUAAGGUAAAAAAAACUUAUUUAAAAUUUUUUUUAAGUAUUAUAUAAUCUACUUCUUAUUUGUUAAACAAUGUGUACAUCACUAUUAAUGAUUAAAUUAAUAGGAUGUCAUAGAUAGGAACUAAGCUAAAGGAAUUAAAAACGCGAAUGGAGAAGAGAUACAGUUCCGCUAAUAAAAUGGGAAUGCUUUUUUAGUGGUCGUUUUCAAUAUUGUAUUUCUUGGGUCACCGCCCUAACCGUCCUUCAAUUAUCUUUUGUAAAUUGACUUCUUAAAGUAGCAAGCCUUGACAAAAUUCAUUAUGCACCAAAAUGAAAGCCAUACGACUCCGUUUUUAUAUGCAAAUCCUAUUAUUCUUUAUGUUUUUUAAUGAAGUCUAAAUUUGAACAAGAGUAAUAAUUUUAACAAUGUACUUUUAGGUUGGUUAAAAAGAUUUAAAAAAACUAACAGUAAAAUGAAUAUUUCAAAAAAAGUAAAAAAAAAUAAUCUUUUUUCUUUGCAGUUAAUUUUUUUUACUAUUUUUUAAUCAAAUGAAAAGUAUAAUGUUAUAAUUACAAUACUUGAUUAAACAUUAAGAAUCCAUCACCCUAAAUAAACUGAUAAAUUUUGGAUUUUAUUAAGUUUGCUUUAUCAAAGUCUCCUUCUUCGUGGGCUCGUAAGAUAUUAAACAUAAGAAUAAGCCGAAUCCGAUUGCAAGCUGUUUGCUUCAUAAUCACUUUGAGUUUCCUCUGAGUUGAUCGUGUUGGCGUUUAACAUCUCCAAACCUUUCCCCUAUAUUUCUUUUCUCCUCUCUUGUAAUUUUUAAUUUUUUUCUUUCCUAUUUCUGAUUUUAUUCGUUGGGACCUCACUUUCAGACUCUUCAUUUUUGGUUCGAAGGCCUUGUUCCUCAUGCUCAUCGCCAUUUUAUCAGCUUAAGUUAUAAGAGUUUUAAACCACGUCAUGUCUAUUAGUAUCAUGUCAAUUUAGUCACAAUGCCACAUCGGCAUAUUUAACAAUUAAAUUUAACGAUGUUAAAAUUAAAAAUUAAAAUUAACAAAUUAACAAAAUAUAAAAACCUAAUUCACACAAAUUAUUUUAUAGAGACUACAUCUGCUGACAUGAUAAAGGCUCCAAAGAGACAAUAUCUUGAAGUGAUCCUCCCAAAAUUCUUCAAUGAGAGACAAUAUCUUGGAGUUUACAAACAACAUCUCUAAAGUAUAUUUUUAAAGUUACGUACACUUAUUUUAAAAGAAGAGAAUCAUUUCUUUUUAAUUUAUAUUUUUUCACAAAAAAUGGUGUCUAAGUCAUUGUACAAUUCAUGAUUCUAAUAAUACACAAUGUGUAAUGAUUAAGAAUAGCUAUAGACAUCCCUUUUUAUCCAAAAUUGUUUAUUGUAAAUUUUUUAUUAAUUCACAUUAGUUUAUUAUAGAUUAGUCCAAUAUUUAGCUUUUUCAGAUUAUUUUUAUUUGAGCUUUAAUUAUGUUGGAAUGAGCUUAACAGGUCACUUAAGUUUAGGGUUAGUGUCCAAAAUACAAGCUUAGGGUCCAAAGUGCAAACUUAGGGUUCAAAUUGAAAUGAAUCAAUAUAAAUAUAUAUAUAUAUACCCAAAAAUAAAAAUUUAGUAAAUAAAAAUAUAAAAAAAAAUCAAAAGGGAAACAUUUCAUCUUGCAUUACUAGAUUUGAUUCCACAAAAUAAAGAUAAUAAAAGCAAAUAAAAAAACAGGAAAAAUCAACGAAAAGGAAAGAUAUAAAAAAUAAAAGCCAUAAUAUCUUAAAAAGUGUUUAAAUUAUUUAAAAAAUUCAAAUAAACCCUUAUACUUUUAUUGCGUUAGAUCAAACUUUUAUACUUUUAUUUUGAGUCAAAUAAAUUUUUAUAACUAAUAGUUGACUUAGUCAAAAUAUCACUUGUCAUUUUAUAACAUGUUUCACUAAUAUGACACUAACAUGAUAUGUUGACAUGUCAUAAUACAUGAUGACAUGGUAUGUUAAUGUGACAUGAUGACAUGGUAUGUUAAUGUGACAUGAUGACAUGGUCAUAUCACAUUUUUCACCACACGGACAUAAAAUGGUAGUGGAUGUUUUGAUUAUUAGCAAUUAGUCAACCAUUAUUUAUAAGGGCUUAUUUAAAUUUUUUUAAAAAAUUUAUGAAUUUUUUUUAGCAUUAUGGAAAAAUAAAAAGGGGAAGAGAUCCAAAUUACACAUUAAAAAAUCACCUACAAUAUUAUGAAAAUUAUUGAUGUAAAAACUCUUCCCUCUUCCAAAAAAAAAAUCUCUCCCUCUAUUGCUAAUAAAAAUCUCACCAUGCAUUUUUAGAGAUCAAAACGCUUGUUAAAUGUCAAAAAUCAAAUUCUAUUUUUAAAUCUAAUGCUUUAUUUCUUUUUUCCAAAUUAAGCUUAGAAUUGGUUUGGAUGGAAGUUUGAGUGUUCUGACAUAUGUUUGCAAAAAAGCAAUAUUCGAGUCAAAAAGGGUUUCCCUCGGUAUUUUGGAAUUGCUCUUAUAACUUUAAAAUUUAAGCAUUGGUUAGUGUGUAAAAAGGGUGUAUAAACUCUUAUCCUUUGAGCAAUUAAGAUACUAAUUUUUGAAUGAGUUGAUACAUUAAGGCAUUUAAUUUGGAAAAAUUUGGAAAUUAAUUAUGCUUGAUUUAUUAGUACUUAUUAUUAUAUUAUUUACUAUUGCUUGCUGAUGUACCAACACAAUUUGUCAACCAGUUUUUCUUAUGUACCAGCAACUUUUGUUAUGAUUUAAGAGCCUUCUCUCAUAACCAUUUAAAUAUUGAUUAAUUUCUUGCAGGUUUAGUCACCCACAUAAAACAAAUUCUAAAAGGUUUAGAAUAAUUUUUUCUUUCUUGCUGACCUGCGGUUUAGUCAACUGGUGUCAUUAUAUAUACAUAGACAAGAGACCCUGACCAGGCGACGGUAACCCAUCCAACAAAGGAAACAAGAUUACACCAAAGGACACUAACACCGAACAGAAACACAAUCAGCAGCAUCAAGUCUAUGCUACAAUAUUACAGAUUCGUUGUCGACACUGUAACAUCACAGAUACAUACUCAUAAAGCAUACAAACACCAACCAUCCCAAUAAUCAGAAACCAAACUGAAAAUCACCAGCAGCAAUGAAAGCAUGUCCAGAAAACUCCAUCAGCACACCCGCAGAUCUCGACAUUCACAAACCGGAAAAGAGAUGGUAGAACACCCCAUAAACCUGAGAGGCAUCACAAGGAAAAACAUAAUAUCGAACCACCAAGCAUAAAACAUGUCACCACGAUCGACCCCAAUUUUUGCAGGUGAGUCCAUCAUUGAAUUUGCUGCUCGUAGUGUAUGCACGAAGGAAACCAAUUUAAACAACCGAUUUAAGGAAGCGAGUGAAGAUAGCAGCUUUAUCAAAGUCUCCUUCUUCGUGGGCUCGUAAGAUAUUAAACAUAAGAAUAAGCCGAAUCCGAUUGCAAGCUGUUUGCUUCAUAAUCACUUGAGUUUCCUCUCUGAGUUGAUCGCUUUGGCGUUGAACAUCUCCAAACCUUUCUCCUAUAUUUCGUUGCUUCUCUCUUAUGCAUCUUUGAACUUCCCUUAUCUUUCCCAUUUGUGAUUUUAUUCGUUGGAUCCUCACUUUCAAACUCUUCAUUUUUUGUUUGAAAGCCUUCUUCCUCAUGCUCAUCGCCAUUUUAUCAGCUUAAAUUUGAAGCUAAAGUGCUCAAAGA
RNAcentral lists this long non-coding RNA (16331 nucleotides) under Theobroma cacao (cacao). RNAcentral describes it as "long non-coding RNA (TCAC_LNC004614)". The record is from RNAcentral. Lineage: Eukaryota; Viridiplantae; Streptophyta; Magnoliopsida; Malvales; Malvaceae.